GUGCUAACGUCCGUCGUGAAGAGGGAAACAACCCAGACCGCCAGCUAAGGUCCCAAAGUCAUGGUUAAGUGGGAAACGAUGUGGGAAGGCCCAGACAGCCAGGAUGUUGGCUUAGAAGCAGCCAUCAUUUAAAGAAAGCGUAAUAGCUCACUGGUCGAGUCGGCCUGCGCGGAAGAUGUAACGGGGCUAAACCAUGCACCGAAGCUGCGGCAGCGACACUGUGUGUUGUUGGGUAGGGGAGCGUUCUGUAAGCCUGUGAAGGUGUGUCGUGAGGCAUGCUGGAGGUAUCAGAAGUGCGAAUGCUGACAUAAGUAACGAUAAAGCGGGUGAAAAGCCCGCUCGCCGGAAGACCAAGGGUUCCUGUCCAACGUUAAUCGGGGCAGGGUGAGUCGACCCCUAAGGCGAGGCCGAAAGGCGUAGUCGAUGGGAAACGGGUUAAUAUUCCCGUACUUGGUGUUACUGCGAAGGGGGGACGGAGAAGGCUAUGUUGGCCGGGCGACGGUUGUCCCGGUUUAAGCGUGUAGGUGUGUGUUCCAGGUAAAUCCGGUUCACUUUAACACUGAGGCGUGACGACGAGGCACUACGGUGCUGAAGCAACAAAUGCCCUGCUUCCAGGAAAAGCCUCUAAGCAUCAGGUAACAUCAAAUCGUACCCCAAACCGACACAGGUGGUCAGGUAGAGAAUACCAAGGCGCUUGAGAGAACUCGGGUGAAGGAACUAGGCAAAAUGGUGCCGUAACUUCGGGAGAAGGCACGCUGACACGUAGGUGAAGUGAUUUACUCAUGGAGCUGAAGUCAGUCGAAGAUACCAGCUGGCUGCAACUGUUUAUUAAAAACACAGCACUGUGCAAACACGAAAGUGGACGUAUACGGUGUGACGCCUGCCCGGUGCCGGAAGGUUAAUUGAUGGGGUCAGCGCAAGCGAAGCUCCUGAUCGAAGCCCCGGUAAACGGCGGCCGUAACUAUAACGGUCCUAAGGUAGCGAAAUUCCUUGUCGGGUAAGUUCCGACCUGCACGAAUGGCGUAAUGAUGGCCAGGCUGUCUCCACCCGAGACUCAGUGAAAUUGAACUCGCUGUGAAGAUGCAGUGUACCCGCGGCAAGACGGAAAGACCCCGUGAACCUUUACUAUAGCUUGACACUGAACAUUGAGCCUUGAUGUGUAGGAUAGGUGGGAGGCUUUGAAGUGUGGACGCCAGUCUGCAUGGAGCCGACCUUGAAAUACCACCCUUUAAUGUUUGAUGUUCUAACGUGGACCCGUUACCCGGGUUGCGGACAGUGUCUGGUGGGUAGUUUGACUGGGGCGGUCUCCUCCUAAAGAGUAACGGAGGAGCACGAAGGUUGGCUAAUCCUGGUCGGACAUCAGGAGGUUAGUGCAAUGGCAUAAGCCAGCUUGACUGCGAGCGUGACGGCGCGAGCAGGUGCGAAAGCAGGUCAUAGUGAUCCGGUGGUUCUGAAUGGAAGGGCCAUCGCUCAACGGAUAAAAGGUACUCCGGGGAUAACAGGCUGAUACCGCCCAAGAGUUCAUAUCGACGGCGGUGUUUGGCACCUCGAUGUCGGCUCAUCACAUCCUGGGGCUGAAGUAGGUCCCAAGGGUAUGGCUGUUCGCCAUUUAAAGUGGUACGCGAGCUGGGUUUAGAACGUCGUGAGACAGUUCGGUCCCUAUCUGCCGUGGGCGCUGGAGAACUGAGGGGGGCUGCUCCUAGUACGAGAGGACCGGAGUGGACGCAUCACUGGUGUUCGGGUUGUCAUGCCAAUGGCACUGCCCGGUAGCUAAAUGCGGAAGAGAUAAGUGCUGAAAGCAUCUAAGCACGAAACUUGCCCCGA
This 1824-nucleotide ribosomal RNA is filed under the name Salmonella enterica. Its description in RNAcentral is "partial 23S ribosomal RNA". It matches the Rfam family "Bacterial large subunit ribosomal RNA", at positions 995 to 2802 of the family's 2925-position model. Lineage: Bacteria; Pseudomonadati; Pseudomonadota; Gammaproteobacteria; Enterobacterales; Enterobacteriaceae. The record is from RNAcentral.